Lactobacillus paragasseri K7 is the source of this 119-nucleotide non-coding RNA. The record is from Rfam. Lineage: Bacteria; Bacillati; Bacillota; Bacilli; Lactobacillales; Lactobacillaceae.
UAAGAGUGCAGUUAAUGUGUAUAAAAACUGUACACUCGUGUACCCGAAUUAACGUUUAAGCGAUAUGUAAUAUCGUCGGCCACGGGGCCGCCCCUUACAUUGGGGCGGUUUUUUUUUGG